Molecule: ribosomal RNA, 207 nt
Filed under: uncultured bacterium
Lineage: Bacteria
Description: partial 16S ribosomal RNA
Rfam family: Bacterial small subunit ribosomal RNA
Source: RNAcentral
CUCGUAGGCGGUUCGUCGCGUCCGGUGUGAAAGUCCAUCGCUUAACGGUGGAUCCGCGCCGGGUACGGGCGGGCUUGAGUGCGGUAGGGGAGACUGGAAUUCCCGGUGUAACGGUGGAAUGUGUAGAUAUCGGGAAGAACGCCAAUGGCGAAGGCAGGUCUCUGGGCCGUCACUGACGCUGAGGAGCGAAAGCGUGGGGAGCGAACA